This 265-nucleotide ribosomal RNA is filed under the name uncultured Staphylococcus sp. Its description in RNAcentral is "partial 16S ribosomal RNA". It matches the Rfam family "Bacterial small subunit ribosomal RNA", at positions 96 to 354 of the family's 1533-position model. The record is from RNAcentral. Lineage: Bacteria; Bacillati; Bacillota; Bacilli; Caryophanales; Staphylococcaceae.
CGGCGGACGGGUGAGUAACACGUGGGUAACCUACCUAUAAGACUGGGACAACUUCGGGAAACCGAGCUAAUACCGGAUAAGAUAUCGAACCGCAUGGUUCGAUAGUGAAAGAUGGUUUUGCUAUCACUUAUAGAUGGACCCGCGCCGUAUUAGCUAGUUGGUGAGGUAACGGCUCACCAAGGCAACGAUACGUAGCCGACCUGAGAGGGUGAUCGGCCACACUGGAACUGAGACACGGUCCAGACUCCUACGGGAGGCAGCAGGA